Molecule: long non-coding RNA, 882 nt
Organism: Daphnia magna
Lineage: Eukaryota; Metazoa; Arthropoda; Branchiopoda; Diplostraca; Daphniidae
Exons: 2
Source: RefSeq, a predicted model, not a curated record
ACGGUGGGUUUAACUUUUCAUGAAUAUCCGCCUUGAAGUUAACCCUUUAGCUAUGGGAUUGUAUCCCCUUUUGCUUAGACAGAGGGUAAGUUGAGGUUCAAGGGAACGAAAAAGGACAAAACCCAAAGAAGAGACAACCAAAACAAACAGCAACGGCCGUUGGACGAGGAUGAUGAAUAUUCGACAAUUGAAGGUCAGAAGCGUACAUCGAGGAGGGCGCAGAUGGAAACCGGGCGGAAUGCAAACUGCACUCAACUGCAAAAACUACCUAAACCUCGCCCAAUCGACCUCCACGAGCCCAGAGGCGAGUUAGCGCGAAGAGCCAAACGAGAUCUCUUACUGACUUCUCUCCUUGUAUGACCCUCGAUUUUUUUUUCGGAAUUAAAGCGCUAACGUACUAUGCAGUGGCUACGACAUUUAUAUACUAGUCCUUUUUUUUUUCUCUCUUAACUCAAAUUAUGCUUUUCAAUCUUUACGAACUACCCACCAACCAGUGAAUAUAACAAUCGCUAUUUAAAUAAAGCCCCACUUAGACCUACGUUUCGUACCGUCACUGAUAUGACAAGAAAAGCUUUUCGAAGUAAAAGUUCCAAGCUCCGAAGCAGCAGGAAAGAUGGAGAUUCAUUCACAAUGCAAUUCGAUCAACGAAGCUAUCACUCAAGAUUACAAAUGAAAAAAAAAUCCUUCUUUUUCGUUGCUCUUUACAAUUUCAAUCCUUUCAUUGUCUAUCACUUUCGGCAUCUUUUUUCCCCUUAAAAAGUGUCUCCGGUCAGCGAUAGCGGGCACGCGUGAAAUUUAUGGCCUGCCACUGGCAAAAAAACCCAUUUAACGAUUUAUACACUUUGCAUUAAGUUUUGGUCCCACGGCCAAACUGAAAAUCUA